CCCGAGUCCAUCAAGGCGCGUUCCUCGGUACAGUACUCCAGCAGGGCUUAUAUAGGCAACCCAAACCCAGCCAAAGCAAACCUCCCCAAACCCAACACUUCCAGCAUGUCCAAAAUGGGAGACAGGCGCCUGAGUAACCCGGGGCAAGGUAUAGUGCCGUCACGCUUUAACUUUUGUUCGGUGGGGCUGGCUCAAUCGCUGUGAAGAUCACGUUCUCCGCGAGCGCAGGUUCCGCGGGGCCCGGCUCUGCGCUCCAGCCUUCGGAGGCCGGGCAGCGCCUUCUGGCCCCUCCAGCACACUGGUCUUCGGGGCGGAUUUCUCCAACUCGGUAGCUUUGGGGGAGCGGGGCCCAGGUCCACACCGUCCUAGGCGCACAUGUAAAUGUAAAAGAAUAUUUGUUUAGGGUGCGGAGCCCCCCAAAAGAAUGCCCAGACAUCUUUGAAAUUGGUAGAGGAAAGAAAAGAAACGACUGCGUUUCUCAUGCCUAGUGAUGCGGUCUGGGCAAGGGGGUGGGGGUGGUGGAGAAGGACGCCAGGAAAUCGUCCUUGGUGAUUUUUAACCCACGAGGAAGGGGAUGCCUGCAAAGGUCCAGGGAGGGUCCCUGCCUUUUACUGAGUGUGCGUGGUUUUGUUUUGUGUUUUAAAGAUCCACACGGAGCUUGAGGUCUAGCUUUUUUUUUUUUCCCAACCAAAGCCCCAAAAGCAUUUUCCACUAUGGACUGGGGAGACUGAGUCAUGUCUGCAGGGCCUCAAAUCAAUCCCUGUGAACUGCAUGAGACGAAGUCCAGGUUUCCUCCAGUAGCGCUGUCCAAGUUCAUAUUUGUGAACCGCCAUGACGAGUUCAUUUGACAGGUGUCCUGGGAGGUGAAAGGGUCACCUGAGGAGAUUGUAAUUCUUUUAGAGAAAAGUCUUAGAAACAUGAAUACGGGUUCUGACAGAGGAGUUUACACGGUCCGAGGUCUUUCGCCUUAGCCGGGGAGCAGGAGCUUUGGGGAGGGAGACUGUGGAUGUCUUAGCAGUUCGAAGACUGACCUUUUUUUCACGGAGUCAUUGCUGCAGACCCCAAAGAUCUGGACGUUCAAGUCCUUGGGAGAGCGGGAUGCAGUGCGUUAACCACCGUUUGCCCAAACUGCUCAGUUGUUAAGCAAAAGAUAGCUGACGCCCUCUCCUUGCGGGAUGGGACUUCUCGUGGGUUGCCUUAACGAUGACCGAUUAUUGAAGCCACUGUCCGCCUUCAGGGGCAAGGGGCAUCCUAUCAGGCCACGCCGUGGGUCCCUCCACGGUCGGCAUCAGUAGCACCCAGGGUGCGGGCGCUGGCGGGGAGUGAGCGCUCCCGGAGGCCCCGCAGCAGGUGAGUAGCCCGCCCUUAGGAGGCCGGAGGGGGCGCCCCAGGGAGCCCAUCCCAGCCCGGAGCAGGGAGGGACGUCGGGUGUCCCCAGAGAGGGCUUUGGAACCUCUAAAGCGCGGCUUUGGUUUUUCCCGUCUCGGGCUACUGGGCAGGCACCCUGGAAGUCUCCCCUCGAGGAUUUAGCCCCCACUUUCCCCCAGACCGAGGCGCCGCCCUCCAGCCCGAAAUUCGUUCCUCUUGCCCUUGGCCUUCGGCCGGCGCUGCCGAGCCGGGUCCCAGGCCCGAGCCGCCGCCGGAACCCGAUCUCGCUCCCGCACCGCACAGGUGUCGGCUGGAGCUGGCGUUAUGUAAUGGAUUUGGCAGCCCCGGCUCUUACCAAACGGAAUUAAAGAGGGUGGGGUUUUCUCUUUUCUUUCCUUUUCCUUUCUCUGUUGACUACAUCUGGUGUCAGGUGUACUUGAUCCGCCGCUGCAGGUGUUUUUUGCAGGAAAAAACCAAGCUGAAUGGCGGCCCAGUCAAAGUGCUCCUGGAGAGGGGCCCGAGGCAGGCCUGGGGCCCUGGGACGAGCCUCCAGCGUCCCCUCCCCGAGCCGCUCACCUGAGGUCGCCGCCGCAGCCGCAGGUGGCCUGAAGUCCAGGGGCGAGGGGCGCGGAGGGGGUUGCCCUUGCUCACCCUCUGUUUUCUGGCCAAAGUCCCUCUGGUAGAAACUGUGGGCUUCCACUCCAUGACUAUUUGCCUUUUAUUAACCUACCGAUCUCCCUGCGAGUGUGGCUGAGUGUGAGUUAGGACGCAACAUCAGGAGAUUCGAGGUAAAGUACCUUCUCCGGAGACAGGGAGCCCCGCCUUCGUCUUGGCAGCUUUACCUGAGAGCCGCCUCGGCGGGCUCAGGUCUCUAACCCUCAACCCGAGAGCCAGUUCGGGACCCUUUCUAAGAUGCGAGACCACGGGACUCUUGCCCAAUUAGAAUUUUUUAAACAUUUCAUCAAUUUUGGUAAACAAUAGAAGGGGAUUUCAAAUACUGUCAGCCUCCAUUUUGUUAGGCAGAAACGAAAGAAAAUGUAGGAGUAGUGGCAUCUGUCUCUCCAAACCUUCAGUUUACUUGUGGACACCAAAUAGUUGCCUUCUUGGAAUUCGACGCCAAGGGCUGGUUUGAACCUUUAGAGAUCUAAGGAAGGGUUUGAGCCUUAAAAAGCCGACAGCUCUAUUUUGGGGAGUGGGCUUAAAUUUGAAUAAUAAAAUAGGGGAUAAUGUUUAAGCGACGACUCGGAGGCUAAAUGUGAAUCUCUGCAUUUCGUCCCGAAAGGACUAAUUCAGAUCAUUAAAGGUGACGUGAAGGGUAAAAGCAAAGGCUGGGAGAGUUAUGACAGUAACUGUGAAGACAGUGGCCAAGGGCUGGGUGUCCAAGUAGUUAUUUACAGGAGAGUUGGGCGUAGAUACUACCUUCUUAAUUUGGACUGAUGAAUUCAGCGGCAAACUCACACUUAUAAAGACUUGAGUUACAACUACACAAAUGAAAACGUGUCUCUCUCUCUCUCUGGAGUAGCUCCAUUUACAGAGGUAAAGCUGCCAGGUAAAGCUAGCAGACCCAUUACACUGAUAGUUAUGUGACCCCAAAGUGCCCCAGUACCUCUCUGUUAAUUGUAGCACAACCCCAGCAAUGACUACCUAUAGAUGAGAUUUUUUAAAAUCUUAUAAAAGAUACGCAGGGGGAAUUUUUUAAGCAAAGUUUAAACUAGCCCCAUUAAAUAUGUCAUGGCCAAAACUAUUUAGCAGUGAAUUAUUGCUUUCCGAGGUGCUGUGGAAGCCACUGAUGGUUACCACAAGAGCUCUCAGCAAAAAGAGUCAGGAAGCAGCACCCCUACCCCCCUUUUUUGAAACACACAUAAGUUUCUUCCUGAAUCCCAUUUGCUGGAUCUCCUCUGCCAGCUGAAGAUCCUGUAGUGAGCUGGGUAGGGACCAGCCCUGACAUGCAGCCGUCUGUUCCCGGGUGGAACUUGGAGAUCUAACUAUGUUUUCAUGCCAAAAGGACAAAAUGAUUUUGCCCAGAGUCAGGUUGUGUUUUCAAGUUACCUUUCCUGUCUAAUCAUGUCGUGCCUAAAAGACUGAUAAACUUAGAGCAGACUCCUCAGUGUGGUCACCACGGAACCAGUGUCCGUGUGGGGGUUUUCCUUGAGUCCUCAAAAAGGUUCCCAAACCUUAGAAAGGGGCAGACCGAACAUCACUGGGGUAUCAGUGCUACUCGGUGUCUAAUUCAAGCUUUGGGGGCAUUUUGCUAGUAAGGAAGACAAAAUCUCCGAGGUUGUAGAUGAUUUAACAGGGGAAAAAAGGAAUGUAGUUUAUAAAGCUGACUGUUUGAAAUACAAAGAAGAAAAGUGUUGCAAACUGCAAAGCCCUAUUUAAAUAUAAUCCAAAGUUUCUUUUGUCCUCCUCUACCUAUCAGAUAAUCAAUUACUUUCUUUUACAUUAACUGUUCUGUCCUCAAAGCUGUACCGUGUUGAGCUCCCUACCCCCUCUCUGGAGAAGCCAAUCCUGAGGCCUCAUUAGAAGCAAACACUGGCUGAUAAUUUCAAAGAAAGAGGCAAAUUCUCUAAAAAAUAAGCAGAGCAGUUUAAUUUAUUAAGCAAUUGUUAAAUAAUGAAAAAAUGAGUGCCCUCUCCACCAUGCCUUUGUGCGAUAGCCUGAACGUUGCCCUUAUACAAAUACCCAUUUCAAAACGUGUGGCUAUCCACGGAGACUGUACUGUCAGCCUCAGAAACCGAGCUUCACAUCGCGGGGAUGUGCGAGGACUGGGGUGCCCAAGUGCCCGGAGUGUGUGCUCCUGAUACAGCGGCCCACGGGGCAGGCUGGGUUGGAUUCCACGUGAUUCCUACUUCCUCUCCUGUCACUGCUUUCCAAAAGAAUUUUUAAAACUUCACUUCGGAUUAGUAAAACAUGGUCCUCAUUUAAUAGACUGCGCACUGGCUCGUUUUCUUAAAGGGAAAUAUAUUUAUUUGCCCUACAACGAACAUAAUUUUCAAAGAACAACUUCGUUUGUUUCAUUUUCCUCCAAAACUAGGGUGGGCACAAACUAGCAACAUUUUAUCAUCCUUAUUCUGGAACAAGAUUUGGCAAGUAAACGGGUUCUAAAACAUGCCAAAUGUUCAACAAUUUAAUGUUCAGAGAUUUUUUAUGCCACAGGACAGAUCUAUAACUCUAUAGCAAUAAUAAUCCCUUGACUAAAUAUACAAAUGCAUUGUUCACCAAACCAUGCAGUGAUUUCAAUGGAGUGGGAGAAGGAGGAUGGUUACCGUGACAUCACUGCUAUUAUUUAAAUUAAACUGCUAUGGGAGAAUAUAAUUGUUAAUAAAAGCCUUCUUCUUCCCGCCCCUCAAGCUUUCCCCUCCCCCUCUGGCAUUUUGUGACGUGCCAUCCACGAUAAAUGUAAGCAGAAUUAUUUUGUCGAUCCUGGUAGCCUGCUGUAUAACGUAUAACUAUAAUGUCGCAUCUACAGGUCAGCAAGGAAAUGCGGAGGAAAAAUUACCACAUUUAAGGGAUGGCUGUUUGAGAAAAUACACAGGGCGUUUGAGUUCAGAGCGUUGGUGUUCAAACUUUUUCUCCUUAUAAAUGUGUGUGUGUACACAGAGAGUUAUCUAUAAACACUUGUGCGCACCCUCUGUGGUAUCCCCGUGUUUGUCCAUUAAAAGCUGCCAUGUAAUCAUUCCAUGGGGCUGGCUUAAUGCAUUUAACAGAGAACUAAUGGGUCGUCUUAUGUUGAAAAGCAUGCUCCUAUUUUUAAUCCCGUCACGUAAUGAUUCGGUUUUCUACCAGUCUGAGGCUUCCACCUUUAUCCCUCGUGGAUGCUCCUGUCCCAGAAAACCAUUUCAACCACUUUUAGUUCCUGACCAUUGCUAAAAAUGCCCCCCGUCUUUCUCUGCAACUACACUUUAUUUUUUUUAGCCUAUUUUUGUAGUUAAUAAUAAUAAUAAUAAUAAUAAACAAUCCUUGCUGUAUAGAAAUUCAGUUGAAAUGAUCCGGUGAGCUCCCGCCUUGAUCCUUGCUUCGAACUGUAAUCUCGAAUACUAGAUAUGAUCGAACUUGGUCGUGGGCUCCAAGCUGCAGGAGACCGAAGCUACUUUUUCGUGCCAGGAUUUCACCUUCUUUCUAGCCUGGAGCGUGCGCGCUGCACACACACACACGCGCACACACACACACACGCCUCUGUAAAAACAAGCUGAGGGGGUGCCCCAAAUGUGAACAGAGAUGCGGGGCUGAGGCUGAGCCCGGGCUGUGGAUGAGCCGCGAGUGAGCGGCGCCCGCGCCGGGGGCUACGGCUAAGGUGGGCGCCGGCGGCCAGGGCGAGGACGCGCUAGGGCUGCGCGGGCUUCCAGCUCUUGUGUGAGACGCAGGCGAGGAUGGCCAGGCGCCCGGGAAUGAAAGCAAAGUUCCGUGGAGCUUGGAGCCCCUAGACAGCCACCCGUGUCCGGGCGGAGAAGAGCCCUCCGCGGUCCGAGCUCGAGCGUGGAGCGGCCUCCGGCGCUCGGGCUGCCCGGGUGGAAGCCCGCGAAGGGGGUCCCGCGGCGCUUUUGUACAGCCCCGCCUUGGCCAGCCGCGAUCUGACGCACCGGCUCCCCUGGGACGCUGGGGGCGUCGCACUGCAGCUGGGUGGGGAGCAAUUUAUUCCUCGCCGUCCCAUCCCAGCCCAUCUUCGGUUACUCCACCCUACCCCUCCCAUGCCUCCACCUCCUCCUCUUCCUCCUCCUCCUCCUCUACCUACGCCUUCACUACCUCUGAUUCUCCACCUCCUCUUCAUCCUCCAUCCCCCUUCUACUUCUCUCUCCCCCCUCUCUCCUCCCUCCCGCCUCCCUGCCCUCUCCCUCUCCCCUCCCUCUCUCCUCUGAAUAAGCAAGCUUUUGCCUCUAAAAGUCACAAGUAAUCCUCGUGUGUGACACAGAGAGAGAGAGAGAAAGGGAGAGAGAGAGGCGAGCCUGCCGAGGGGAGCGGCAGGCAGGAAGGGAAAUCUGGCACAACGGCUGGGAGAGGAAACUUGACGCUUCUGGGCCACCAUUUGCCAGGGCCUCGCUCGAGAUGAGACUACAAAGAAGCAUAAAAUGAAUAGACAGUUCAACCAGCCAAAGACCGGGGGCAGCAGCACGCCAGCAAGACGGCAUCUUCUCCUCCCCAGCCUAGAAGCCCUGUGAAAUCGAGGAUCUUCCCCCUAAAACACACACACACAAGAUAUGUGCAAUCAAGCUGCCACCGCUUGGUAAAAAGCUCAUGGUGCCUAACCCAAAAGGAUCGGGAGCAGAUCCUUGAAUCAGCUGUCACUUCUUCUAUAGAAUGGGAUGGUUUUUUUCCUUCCUCCUUACCCUGCGCUGGAAAUUGCCGUUGGCUUUAUACGUCUCUAUAGAGGGAGGCUAAAGAGUCUUGCGUGAGAAUGAAGCAAUUUACAAUGCAAAUAGAGGCCUGUGAAGGGACGGAUGCUGCUGCUCACUCGUAACCGCUUGCUGCACCUUAAUAGCUGGUUUUAUUUUCUGAUAUUAAUAGAUGAAUUGUUGGCUAACGCUGCCGGAGAUUACUUGCUGAAAGGAAAAAAAAAAAGUUCGGAAUAAACUUUGAAAGCAACAGAUCUCGUUUGGAUGUUUAGCCGCACACACAGACAGAAACCAGGUCAUAUUUACAUACAAGGAGGAAUCUUAUGCGCGGCGAGUAUCCUGGAGGACUACCCUUCUGUGCUGUCGGAAAGAUCGGGACCUGGAGUCUGAUCAAAGGAAGACAGAGGCGCGUGAGGGAAGCGAGUUGUUAUCUUUGGUUAUCUAGCUGUAUGAGUGUAUUGGUCUUCAUAAAGCUAGAUAACCGAAAGUAAAAACUCCUUCAAGAUCGCCGGGGAGCGUGUGAGAAUGAGAGACUACAACCGAGAGACAGUAAAAACCAGAAAGGUCAGGAAUACUUAUUGAAUCUAACUUUGUUUUUGUUUUUUUGCCUUUUGAUUAAAGGUGGGGUUAGAGGAAAUUAAGUGACGCAUAUGCCAAAAUAUAAAGGUGCCAGGUACUUGGAGAGGGGUUGUUACAGCUGCAAAGGAGAAUUGUAUGGUGCUAAUGAGGAAAGAGGCUUGCGCAGUUUGUCUUGCUUUAAGGCAAAAGUUUGUAUAUGAGGUUGGUUUUUUUCUUAGACAGCUGUUGUAGAGAUGUCUGGUACCUAGUUUAAAAAUGAUUUGGUAAUAUGUGGACUUAGGCUCUUCCCUUCUGAGGCCCCUCCCCUGAAAAAUUUGAAAGAUGAUGCUUGGAAACUACAUGUAUUUGGGUUGUAUGUCAAAUUAUAUGAAAUUAGACUUUCAGAAAAUUUAUACUGGAAGGUUAAUCAUUUGUAUCUACUGAGGACAUAGAGCUAGAAGGGAAAAUGCAAAAAAAGAAAAAAAAAGCAAAGGCUGAUUUUUAUUCUUCUAUUCAAAAUACAAGGACAGAUGCUUCUCUGUUCCAAGAGGGUUUCCUUGAGGAAGCUACUGAAGCAGAAAGACAUGAUGGAGACGAGAUCGCCUCCCCUCUUGUCAAAGUGUUAAAAAAAUGUUCUGUCUUACUCUGCGCCUAGCAUUGGAAAUGAAAGUGACAUUUACGCCACAACCCACGUGUGCGCCUCCUCUCUUUUUGUUUAAGGAUGAUCAGGUCUAUCCAGGAAACAGCUCUGGCAUCCCAAACUGAAAUAAUUAGGACGUAUAUAGACCUGACAAAAAUGGAAAGGGGGUGGGGAAUCUGAGGGUCUGUCUUGCCUAAUUGAUUCCGCUAAACGGAAUGCAGGAGAUGUGAACGGCAGGACGCUCCGAUUCCCACGCUCGGGGGCAAGUGGUAAAGCGGGCCCGGCAGCCUAUGACAGACAGCCCUGUUGGGGGGUGGGGGUAUGAAAAAAACAUCGAGUGCACACACCAUACUCAUCUCCAUCGCUUAAGAAAGUAGAGGCAUUUCCCACCCACAGCCAUCUGCAGCCUCCCAAAUGGCAGCACCAACUGGUCUGUAGCUGCUGCAUACUGUCUGAUUCUGUUAAUUUUAUAACCGCUGUUUAAUCUGGCCAUAAUUAAGUUUGGCUUUCUUCUUUGCUUGAGAUUUUCAAUAUUUAAGGAAAGCUAGUAGAAAGCAGUUCCAAGCAAGUCCCAUGACUGCCUGCCCCUCAUGUCAAAUUGCCAGUCCGCACUUUUGGCCUUCCACCUUUUGGCUUUUGUUUUGGGGAAGGGGGUUCUAUUUAAAAUACUUAUCUCUUCUGUAAUAGACAUUAUUAUCACUUCAUCAGGCUCUUUACCUCUGAACAUGAUAUAUCCAGGAAGUUGGCCUAAUUCUGCUAGUAGACAUACACUGGAAGUAAAACUAUAAAAUCAUCAACCUAUAGAAAGGUGACCACAAUAACAGUGUGAUGAAAGGUUGUUUUAGUAUAGUCCCAGCUAGAUGUGUUCUAAACAGCCAUUUUUAUUUAAUCUAAAAUGACUAUGCUUAGCAGAAACUUUGGGAGGUCCCCAUGGUAAUCUUUUCAUGAAAGUCCUUUCAUUUUUCCACGUGUCACCAAGCAAACAUUUGUAUAGGCAUUUAAAAAUAAACACAAACACAAACACUGUAAUAAGAAAAUGCCCAAAAUGGCCUGUUAUCUUCCACGUGACCUAGAUUACUGACAAUCCCAAAUCCCAAAUACACAACUUUUCUUCAAAAGCAUUACAUUUCCUUUGUAGCUGCAACUCCUUAUAAGAGUUCAGACUGGAGAAGCCUGAAAAACCACUGUUAAUUUCAGUUAGAAACUGAGAGACUUUAUGAACGUAAAUUCUCAAUUUGGCCGCUGAACACGUGCCAAAGUUUUAACUACUGUAGUGACCGUUGAGAAGACCCUUGUUUAUUUACAUUUGAAGCACUGUUUGUGCAAACAACCUUUCAUUGUUAAGUGCCUGUAUUCCUUUCAUUUACUUCAUGUCCAGGGGUGCUAUUUACCUAGAACCAUUGUCUACUACAAUUAACAUUUACAUUACAAAGUGUGUGGUUUUCUUUCUCAAGGAGGUUCAAUUAAGGCAAUAAGAUGUUUGCUGGGGAAACCUAUUGUUUACUGAAAGCACUCAAUGGAGUCAAAUUACUGAAGCUUUUGCCUACAUCUUGGUCUUUUAUGUAAAUGUGUUAAAUAUAACAUCUAAGGAAAAUAAACAAUAUUAUAAUUACGUGUUUGCCAUUGUCAUAUCAAACUUGCUUUGUAUCAUACUAAUGUUACAUGACUUAUCGAUCAAUAAAAAUACAUUUCAAUGUUAUUAUUUUCAUUUUAUUUUUUGCUGUUCCACUGCUCUUGCUGCAACAUGUUCCAAUUUUUCUUUUUUCUAUUACACAUCAAACUUAUGACAUUUUGUUUUAUUUGUGUGUGUUGAAGAGAGGUACUGUAUCCAAGCAUGGGUCUGAAGGGUGUCUGAGGACAUCUCUACAGUGACCUUAUAAUAAGGUGAUAUUUCUUUGAAAUCUGAAAUAUUCCAAAGGCAUGUACAUUUAAGUCAAAAGAAGUGUAAAUAUCAGUUAAGUAGUUCUUUGAAAGCUAGUUUUAACAUUGGCAGAAACCGGAUCAAGUUUAUUUAGCAUACCACUGCAUUGUAAAACAGUUGGAGUGAAGUUGCAGGUUGCGUGAGUAUGCAUGUUAACUAGUGGGAACCAAGCGCAGUCUUUGUGAAAGGGGAGCAGCAGAUUGCUGUGCAAGGCCAAUGUUAAAAAGGCAGCUGAAUUUAACACCAUCUGGAAGAAAAGAUCCCUUCACGACUUUCUCACACCGUCAGACAAAACUAGUGUCUCUUGUUCCGAGCCCUUGUCUAUGCAACCAUACAAUACUGAGUCAUUAUACUUUUGCUGAGAGAAAAUUUGAGAACACAAUAUGGGUAACCAGUGAAUGACCAAGUUUCAUUGUGCCCGCUUAAGUCGAUUGAAAUCUACGUCUAGAGCUCUGAAUGGUAGUAUUGUUUUCCUCACCAGGGCUGUACUAAAUGUCAGCACAGUGUAAAGAAAAACUUGAAGUCUGCAAAUAACUUACCAGAUCUCAAUUAUAAUAUUUUCCCACACUAGAACUAAUAUCAUUGCGAGGGGCUACACUGCAGAAAAUACCAAAAGAAACGAAAAGAAAUAGAGAGUUCAUUUAGAAGUUAUUUUAUCCAGACAAACAUUUUAAUUUUCUGAUGGGAACUUCAAUUCAGGCUGCAGGCUGGGUUGAGAAGUAGAAUUCAUUACUGGGAAGUUCAAGUUACAAAAAUGCUUCUUGUGCAAUUAAAAUAGAAUAAAGCAAACCACUAGUCCCACCUGAAACUCUCUCUUCUUAAAUAUAAAGAGACUCUAGUUGAAUUUUAUUGCUUUAGUUCUGCUUAGAAUUAUUAGUGUGCAUCUAGCUUAAAUUUUGCUUUAAAUUUUGCCAGACACUGCUCUUUCAAAGUUUGCCCCUAUGAUUGACAUUGCAAAAGAACAUCAUAGUGUACAUUUCCAAAAAUAUACAAGGUUUGGCUCCUCCCUAGGUGGGUUCUGGUGCCUUCAGGAAUACACCUCCCUGUAUAUUACACCCCUUUCCC
Molecule: long non-coding RNA, 10882 nt
Filed under: Equus caballus (horse)
Lineage: Eukaryota; Metazoa; Chordata; Mammalia; Perissodactyla; Equidae
Description: lncRNA (ENSECAG00000053362.1)
Rfam family: mir-9/mir-79 microRNA precursor family (bases 7120-7195)
Source: RNAcentral